RNAcentral lists this ribosomal RNA (500 nucleotides) under uncultured Glomeromycotina. Its description in RNAcentral is "partial small subunit ribosomal RNA". It matches the Rfam family "Eukaryotic small subunit ribosomal RNA", at positions 591 to 1092 of the family's 1831-position model. The record is from RNAcentral. Lineage: Eukaryota; Fungi; Glomeromycota.
CCAAUAGCGUAUAUUAAAGUUGUUGCAGUUAAAAAGCUCGUAGUUGAAUUUCGGGGUCAGUAAGUUGGUCGUGCCACUGGUAUGUACUGGCUUUACUGAUUCCUCCUUCUUGUAGAACCGUAAUGCCAUUAAGUUGGUGUUGCGGGGAAACAGGACUGUUACUUUGAAAAAAUUAGAGUGUUUAAAGCAGGCUAACGCUUGAAUACAUUAGCAUGGAAUAAUGAAAUAGGACGUUCGAUCCUAUUUUGUUGGUUUCUAGGAUUGACGUAAUGAUUAAUAGGGAUAGUUGGGGGCAUUAGUAUUCAAUUGUCAGAGGUGAAAUUCUUGGAUUUAUUGAAGACUAACUACUGCGAAAGCAUUUGCCAAGGAUGUUUUCAUUAAUCAAGAACGAAAGUUAGGGGAUCGAAGACGAUCAGAUACCGUCGUAGUCUUAACCAUAAACUAUGCCGACUAGGGACCGGAUGAUGUUAAUUUUAUAAUGACUCAUUCGGCGCCUUACG